Molecule: ribosomal RNA, 429 nt
Filed under: Pseudomonadota bacterium
Lineage: Bacteria; Pseudomonadati; Pseudomonadota
Description: Proteobacteria bacterium partial 16S ribosomal RNA
Rfam family: Bacterial small subunit ribosomal RNA
Source: RNAcentral
UGGGGAAUAUUGGACAAUGGGCGAAAGCCUGAUCCAGCCAUGCCGCGUGUGUGAAGAAGGUCUUCGGAUUGUAAAGCACUUUAAGUUGGGAGGAAGGGCAGUAAGCGAAUACCUUGCUGUUUUGACGUUACCGACAGAAUAAGCACCGGCUACCUCUGUGCCAGCAGCCGCGGUAAUACAGAGGGUGCAAGCGUUAAUCGGAAUUACUGGGCGUAAAGCGCGCGUAGGUGGUUCGUUAAGUUGAAUGUGAAAGCCCCGGGCUCAACCUGGGAACUGCAUCCAAAACUGGCGAGCUAGAGUAGGGCAGAGGGUGGUGGAAUUUCCUGUGUAGCGGUGAAAUGCGUAGAUAUAGGAAGGAACACCAGUGGCGAAGGCGACCACCUGGGCUCAUACUGACACUGAGGUGCGAAAGCGUGGGGAGCAAACAGG